CCUACGGGAGGCAUCAGUGGGGAAUAUUGGACAAUGGGGGGAACCCUGAUCCAGCCAUGCCGCGUGUGUGAAGAAGGCCCUCGGGUUGUAAAGCACUUUCAGUGAGGAAGAACGCCUGGUGGUUAAUACCCAUCAGGAAAGACAUCACUCACAGAAGAAGCACCGGCUAACUCCGUGCCAGCAGCCGCGGUAAUACGGAGGGUGCGAGCGUUAAUCGGAAUUACUGGGCGUAAAGCGCGCGUAGGUGGCUUGAUAAGCCGGUUGUGAAAGCCCCGGGCUCAACCUGGGAACGGCAUCCGGAACUGUCAAGCUAGAGUGCAGGAGAGGAAGGUAGAAUUCCCGGUGUAGCGGUGAAAUGCGUAGAGAUCGGGAGGAAUACCAGUGGCGAAGGCGGCCUUCUGGACUGACACUGACACUGAGGUGCGAAAGCGUGGGUAGCAAACAGGAUUAGAUACCCUUGUAGUC
This 465-nucleotide ribosomal RNA is filed under the name Vreelandella stevensii. Its description in RNAcentral is "partial 16S ribosomal RNA". It matches the Rfam family "Bacterial small subunit ribosomal RNA", at positions 338 to 795 of the family's 1533-position model. The record is from RNAcentral. Lineage: Bacteria; Pseudomonadati; Pseudomonadota; Gammaproteobacteria; Oceanospirillales; Halomonadaceae.